RNAcentral lists this ribosomal RNA (482 nucleotides) under uncultured bacterium. RNAcentral's name for it is "bacterial SSU rRNA". It matches the Rfam family "Bacterial small subunit ribosomal RNA", at positions 30 to 507 of the family's 1533-position model. The record is from RNAcentral.
AUUGAACGCUGGCGGCAUGCCUUACACAUGCAAGUCGAACGGUAACGGGCCUUCGGGUGCCGAUGAGUGGCGAACGGGUGAGUAAUGCAUCGGAACGUACCUUUCAGUGGGGGAUAACGUAGCGAAAGUUACGCUAAUACCGCAUAUUCUGUGAGCAGGAAAGCAGGGGAUCGCAAGACCUUGCGCUGAUUGAGCGGCCGAUGUCAGAUUAGCUAGUUGGUGAGGUAAAGGCUCACCAAGGCGACGAUCUGUAGCGGGUCUGAGAGGAUGAUCCGCCACACUGGAACUGAGACACGGUCCAGACUCCUACGGGAGGCAGCAGUGGGGAAUUUUGGACAAUGGGGGCAACCCUGAUCCAGCCAUGCCGCGUGAGUGAAGAAGGCCUUCGGGUUGUAAAGCUCUUUCGGCCGGGAAGAAAUCGCAUGGGUUAAUACCCUGUGCGGAUGACGGUACCGGCAUAAGAAGCACCGGCUAACUACGUG